GAUGAACGCUGGCGGCGUGCCUAACACAUGCAAGUCGAGCGGAAGGACGAGAAGUUUGCUCCGCUGACGUUUGGCGCGCGGGGGUGAGAAACAUGUGGAUAACUCACCUAUAAGAGGGGGAUAACUUGGGAAAAGCGGUGCUAACACCGGAGAAUAACGUGAACCGCAUGGGUCAAAAGUGAAAUACGGCCUUGCGGUCACUUAUAGAUGGAUCUGCGCUGCAUUAGCUAGUUGGUCGGGCAAAGGCCUACCAAGGCAACGAUGAGUAGCCGGGCGGAGAGGCGGGUCGGCCACCCGGGGACUGAGACGCGGCCCAGACUCCUACGGGAGGCCGCAGUGGGGAAUGUUGGGCAAUGGGCGAAAGCCUGACACAGCAAUGCCGCGUGUGUGAAGAAGGCCUUCGGGUUGUAAAGCACUUUUGUCGGGAAAGAACCCCUUUGCCCUAAUACGGACGGGGGAUGACGGUACCGGAAGAAUAAGCACCGGCUAACUACGUG
Molecule: ribosomal RNA, 497 nt
Filed under: uncultured bacterium
Lineage: Bacteria
Description: partial 16S ribosomal RNA
Rfam family: Bacterial small subunit ribosomal RNA
Source: RNAcentral